This 250-nucleotide ribosomal RNA is filed under the name uncultured bacterium. RNAcentral's name for it is "partial 16S ribosomal RNA". It matches the Rfam family "Bacterial small subunit ribosomal RNA", at positions 524 to 773 of the family's 1533-position model. The record is from RNAcentral.
UACGGGGGGUGCGAGCGUUGUUCGGAAUCAUUGGGCGUAAAGAGCGCGCAGGCGGCUUGGUGAGUCAGAUGUGAAAGCCCUGGGCUUAACCCAGGAAGUGCAUUUGAUACUGCCUCGCUAGAGUACGGGAGAGGAAAGUGGAAUUCCUGGUGUAGAGGUGAAAUUCGUAGAUAUCAGGAGGAACACCGGUGGCGAAGGCGACUUUCUGGCCCGAUACUGACGCUCAGGCGCGAAAGCGUGGGGAGCAAAC